GAUAGACGCUGGCGGCGUGCCUAACACAUGCAAGUCGAACGCCCUUUUGCGCAAGUGAGAGGGAGUGGCGGACGGGUGAGUAGCACGUGGGUACCUACCCAAGAUGAGGAAUACCACCGAGAAAUCGGUGACAAGACCGCAUACCUUCGGCCACGAAGAAAGCUUCUCCUCACGAGAGGCGUCUUGGGAGUGGCCUGCGCCUGAUUAGCUGGUUGGUGAGGUAACAGCUCACCAAGGCGACGAUCAGUAGCUGGUCUGAGAGGAUGAUCAGCCACACUGGGAUUGA
Molecule: ribosomal RNA, 286 nt
Filed under: uncultured bacterium
Lineage: Bacteria
Description: partial 16S ribosomal RNA
Rfam family: Bacterial small subunit ribosomal RNA
Source: RNAcentral